This is a long non-coding RNA of Heterocephalus glaber (naked mole-rat), 1069 nucleotides long. NCBI's taxonomy places the organism in Eukaryota, Metazoa, Chordata, Mammalia, Rodentia, Bathyergidae. The record is from Ensembl.
CUGACUCUUAACAUCCACGCUGGCCUUCAGUUCCUGGUCUACAAAAUCUUCCUGAGCUUCGCUGGCCCUUCAGACUUAUGGUGUCCUUCCGUAGACCUGCCAGAAGGAUCAACUUGAGAACUGACAAAUCUUCAUUCUGGGACUUUCUACAACCCUUACAACAAGAUAAGAACUGUCUGUGGAAGUGUUUCUCCUAAUUUGCAACAUUUUUCAAAUUUAUGAAAUUUUCUCAUUUCAUUAUACCAAGAAGAGGCCAAGGGAGGACGUGAUCGCCACGAUUCCCAGUUCUCAGGGCCUUUCCUGAGGACAGCUUUGUCGGCAUCAUUCUGUCCUUGGGCCUGGACUGGAGAAGGGAAACGCCUACCCCGUCCAGGGGUGAUGUGCAUGAGGAACUAUUACAGUGGCAAUCACAGCCUCUCCAGAUUUCCAGAGUGCAAAUGUAACUUUUCAAAAAUGUAAAAGUAAAUACCAAUAUUGUCAAUGUCAGUAUUUAUUAUCUUUCUAAUAGGGAGAUGUGUGAAGCAGUUAGUUGUGUCUAUUAAAAAAUUAAAUUAAACAAACUCAUCUUAAUCAAUGAAUGCAAAUUGACUACUUAUUUAAAAUUGAUUUAAUAUUAACAAAUUACAAAUUGUUAUUUUUGAAAAAUUAGGAUAAUUUACAGAAAUAACUCUCUGCUUUGUAAAUAUGACUAGUAAUUUGCUUCAGAUAUUUUAACUUCUUUUUCUAUGUAGCAUCUAUGGUUUCUGAAGCAUGAAAGGAAUGAAUUAAAAAAUAUAAACCCAGGGCCUAAAGAUUAGUUUGAAGGAUGCAUUUUGAAGGUAAAGGACACAGAAUUUUAAUCCUAGCUCUGUUAUUAUCUAGAAGUGUGGUAUUUGGCCUAAGUCUCCCUCCUUAUCUUUAAAUGGGCUUAAUGACAUCUACUUUGUCAUAAUUAAGUAGAAUUGUGCAUUUUUAAAAAGUCUAAAAUAAUGUUGGUCACAUUGAAGCACCUCAUAAAUGAUCUUUAGCAUUAGUAUAAUACAAUCUUAAAAUAAAUUUACAUAAAUAUUGUAGUGGGUGUAAAAAAAGC